UAAAACGAAGGACGCGAGCGUUAUCCGGAUUUACUGCGCGUAAAGCGCGGGCAGGCGGUGGUCCAAGUCGGACGUGAAAGCUCCCGGCUCAACUGGGAGAGGUCGUUCGAAACUGGGCCGCUAGAGGGCAGUAGAGGGGCGUGGAAUUCCGGGUGGAGUGGUGAAAUGCGUAGAGAUCCGGAGGAACACCAGAGGCGAAGGCGGCGCCCUGGGCUGCACCUGACGCUGAGCCGCGAAAGCUAGGGGAGCGAACGGGAUUAGAAACCCCGGUAGUCCUAGCCGUAAACGAUGUCCACUAGAUGUCUGGGCGGAGGCCUGGGCGUCGCAGCUAACGCGUUAAGUGGACCGCCUGGGGAGUACGGCCGCAAGGCUAAAACUCAAAGGAAUUGACGUUGGCCCGCAC
RNAcentral lists this ribosomal RNA (403 nucleotides) under uncultured Chloroflexota bacterium. RNAcentral describes it as "bacterial SSU rRNA". It matches the Rfam family "Bacterial small subunit ribosomal RNA", at positions 521 to 926 of the family's 1533-position model. Lineage: Bacteria; Bacillati; Chloroflexota. The record is from RNAcentral.